Long non-coding RNA from Ceratitis capitata (Mediterranean fruit fly), 787 nucleotides. RefSeq lists it as uncharacterized. NCBI's taxonomy places the organism in Eukaryota, Metazoa, Arthropoda, Insecta, Diptera, Tephritidae. The transcript is spliced from 2 exons. The record is from RefSeq and is a predicted model, not a curated record.
UUCAUAUGUACAUGUGUGUACAUUUGAAUUUGAGACGCAGUAACAGAGAGAACAAAAAACUCGUUAAACUCUAUAAAUCGUGAUAAACACUCACGUCUGAAUGCACCCAUAGUCAACGAAUUCGCUCGCUUCGCCUGAUAGAUACAGUACUCAUCUAACGUUCGCGAAAUGAAUCAGAAUAUUCUCGGGUGUUAUAGAAAUCGACACAGAAUUGCUUGUUUAUCCGAGUUGAAAAUCAAUAUCUGUGUGGAAACCGACUUGAUUUUACUUUUUUUUUCGAAGAUAAGAGAAACCGAUAUUCGAAUCAGCUGUCAUCACACUGUGCAAAUAACACCCAGCAAUUCAAUUUAAUUUUUGUAGCACACAUUCGUGCUGAUUAACUAAAUUAACUAAAAAAUAAAAUAAAUUCGGAAGUGUUAGAAUUUUUGAUGAUAAAAGGAUUUGGAGAAACCAUACAGAAAAUAAAGCGCAUAGUUGUAAGGGAUAAGAGCAAUCCGCUGGAGCUGCCAGAGUCGAUAUUCACACACAAAUAUCGUCUUAACUAAGAAGUCUUUGUAAUUGUGCUGGAUGUUAUUGAAGGCUAACUUGCCGCCACACUGCGGUUUUUGGCAGAAGGCUCCCAUUAACGAUCUGUAACAGAAAAGCUUUUGAACAUUUCAAUUGCCCAGGCGGAAUAACGUUAGGAAUGAUCGACAAUGGAAAACGCUGAGCUCGUGAUCAUUUCUACAUCAAGUACCGUAUUCCAGGCAUUGCUGAUUGUAAUAUUUCGAUGCAAGGGAUUUGUUGC